This 288-nucleotide ribosomal RNA is filed under the name Triticum aestivum (bread wheat). Its description in RNAcentral is "partial small subunit ribosomal RNA". The record is from RNAcentral. Lineage: Eukaryota; Viridiplantae; Streptophyta; Magnoliopsida; Poales; Poaceae.
CUUCUCCCUUUCAUUUAGUUGGUCAGUCGGUCGAGGCCACCCCUCAAUGCUGCAGCAAUCACCGCGCUUGUUGAUCGUUAGAGGCCGGAGACACACAGUUUCCAUCUUCGGACCGGGGAGAUGACCGUGACGCUCCAGGAUAUUGCUAUGAUCACCAAUCUUCCUAUCGAGGGGAAUCCUCUUUGUAUGAGCACCGAUUCUGAUGGGUGGCGCGAGCAGAUGCCUCCGCUUAUCGGUAUGGUUCCUCCGGAGCCUCGGGAACCAGUAGCAGAAGACAAGAAGAAGUAA